This 348-nucleotide ribosomal RNA is filed under the name Triticum aestivum (bread wheat). RNAcentral describes it as "partial small subunit ribosomal RNA". The record is from RNAcentral. Lineage: Eukaryota; Viridiplantae; Streptophyta; Magnoliopsida; Poales; Poaceae.
AUGCGAGUUUUCUUGCCUUGCAUACCAUUAUGCCCCUCUGACGAUGACAUGUUCCCAUUUAGUUUCAAGAGGAAACAAUUUCCAAUCAGGCUCAGCUUUGCAAUGACAAUAAACAAAUCACAAGGUCAGACAAUAGCAAAUGUCGGCGCGUACCUGCCUGAACCGGUAUUCUCACAUGGUCAACUAUAUGUUGCACUUUCUAGAGCGACCACGAUAGAAAACAUAAAGGUACUAACAGGUACACAUGAUGAGAACAAGGAGAAGAAAAACAAGAAUAAGAAUAAGAAUAUCAGUGCAAGCAAGACAUACACAAAGAAUAUUGUCUAUACAGAAGCCCUCACCAAAUAG